CAAAAAGUAGCUUAUAACUAAAGCACUCGUCUUACAAUCGAACGAUAUUACAUAUACAAUCUUUUUGA
Molecule: transfer RNA, 68 nt
Filed under: Loxocemus bicolor (Mexican python)
Lineage: Eukaryota; Metazoa; Chordata; Lepidosauria; Squamata; Loxocemidae
Description: tRNA-Val
Rfam family: tRNA
About the family: Transfer RNA (tRNA) molecules are approximately 80 nucleotides in length. Their secondary structure includes four short double-helical elements and three loops (D, anti-codon, and T loops).
Source: RNAcentral